UACGUAGGGUGCAAGCGUUGUCCGGAAGUAUUGGGCGUAAAGAGCUCGUAGGCGGUUUGUUGCGUCGGCUGUGAAAUCCCGAGGCUCAACCUCGGGUCUGCAGUCGAUACGAGCAAACUAGAGUGUUGCAGGGGAGACUGGAAUUCCUGGUGUAGCGGUGAAAUGCGCAGAUAUCAGGAGGAACACCUAUUGCGAAGGCAGCUCGCUGGGACGUAACUGACGCUGAGACGCGAAAGCGUGGGGAGCAAACAGG
This 253-nucleotide ribosomal RNA is filed under the name uncultured bacterium. Its description in RNAcentral is "partial 16S ribosomal RNA". It matches the Rfam family "Bacterial small subunit ribosomal RNA", at positions 524 to 776 of the family's 1533-position model. The record is from RNAcentral.